AACGAACGCUGGCGGCAUGCCUAACACAUGCAAGUCGAACGAGACCUUCGGGUCUAGUGGCGCACGGGUGCGUAACGCGUGGGAAUCUGCCCUUGGGUUCGGAAUAACAGUUAGAAAUGACUGCUAAUACCGGAUAAUGUCUUCGGACCAAAGAUUUAUCGCCCAGGGAUGAGCCCGCGUAGGAUUAGCUAGUUGGUGAGGUAAAGGCUCACCAAGGCGACGAUCCUUAGCUGGUCUGAGAGGAUGAUCAGCCACACUGGGACUGAGACACGGCCCAGACUCCUACGGGAGGCAGCAGUGGGGAAUAUUGGACAAUGGGCGAAAGCCUGAUCCAGCAAUGCCGCGUGAGUGAUGAAGGCCUAGGGUUGUAAAGCUCUUUUACCCGGGAUGAUAAUGACAGUACCGGGAGAAUAAGCCCCGGCUAACUCCGUGCCAGCAGCCGCGGUAAU
RNAcentral lists this ribosomal RNA (449 nucleotides) under uncultured bacterium. RNAcentral describes it as "bacterial SSU rRNA". It matches the Rfam family "Bacterial small subunit ribosomal RNA", at positions 29 to 524 of the family's 1533-position model. The record is from RNAcentral.